GAUGAACGCUGGCGGCGUGCCUAACACAUGCAAGUCGAGCGAACCCUUCGGGGUGAGCGGCGGACGGGUGAGUAACGCGUGGGUAACCUGCCCUAUACACACGGAUAACGUACCGAAAGGUACGCUAAUACGGGAUAAAAUUGUUGGAUGGCAUCUUCUAACAAUCAAAGCUCCGGCGGUAUAGGAUGGACCCGCGUCUGAUUAGCUAGUUGGUGAGGUAAUGGCUCACCAAGGCGACGAUCAGUAGCCGACCUGAGAGGGUGAUCGGCCACACCGGAACUGAGACACGGUCCAGACUCCUACGGGAGGCAGCAGUGGGGAAUAUUGCACAAUGGGCGAAAGCCUGAUGCAGCAACGCCGCGUGAGCGAUGAAGGUCUUCGGAUCGUAAAGCUCUGUCCUCAAGGAAGAUAAUGACGGUACUUGAGGAGGAAGCCCCGGCUAACUACGUGCCAGCCGCCGCUGUAA
This 466-nucleotide ribosomal RNA is filed under the name uncultured bacterium. RNAcentral describes it as "partial 16S ribosomal RNA". It matches the Rfam family "Bacterial small subunit ribosomal RNA", at positions 28 to 523 of the family's 1533-position model. The record is from RNAcentral.